RNAcentral lists this ribosomal RNA (969 nucleotides) under Leuconostoc mesenteroides subsp. mesenteroides. RNAcentral describes it as "bacterial SSU rRNA". It matches the Rfam family "Bacterial small subunit ribosomal RNA", at positions 77 to 1030 of the family's 1533-position model. The record is from RNAcentral. Lineage: Bacteria; Bacillati; Bacillota; Bacilli; Lactobacillales; Lactobacillaceae.
UGCUUGCACCUUUCAAGUGAGUGGCGAACGGGUGAGUAACACGUGGACAACCUGCCUCAAGGCUGGGGAUAACAUUUGGAAACAGAUGCUAAUACCGAAUAAAACUUAGAGUCGCAUGACACAAAGUUAAAAGGCGCUUCGGCGUCACCUAGAGAUGGAUCCGCGGUGCAUUAGUUAGUUGGUGGGGUAAAGGCCUACCAAGACAAUGAUGCAUAGCCGAGUUGAGAGACUGAUCGGCCACAUUGGGACUGAGACACGGCCCAAACUCCUACGGGAGGCUGCAGUAGGGAAUCUUCCACAAUGGGCGAAAGCCUGAUGGAGCAACGCCGCGUGUGUGAUGAAGGCUUUCGGGUCGUAAAGCACUGUUGUAUGGGAAGAACAGCUAGAAUAGGAAAUGAUUUUAGUUUGACGGUACCAUACCAGAAAGGGACGGCUAAAUACGUGCCAGCAGCCGCGGUAAUACGUAUGUCCCGAGCGUUAUCCGGAUUUAUUGGGCGUAAAGCGAGCGCAGACGGUUUAUUAAGUCUGAUGUGAAAGCCCGGAGCUCAACUCCGGAAUGGCAUUGGAAACUGGUUAACUUGAGUGCAGUAGAGGUAAGUGGAACUCCAUGUGUAGCGGUGGAAUGCGUAGAUAUAUGGAAGAACACCAGUGGCGAAGGCGGCUUACUGGACUGCAACUGACGUUGAGGCUCGAAAGUGUGGGUAGCAAACAGGAUUAGAUACCCUGGUAGUCCACACCGUAAACGAUGAACACUAGGUGUUAGGAGGUUUCCGCCUCUUAGUGCCGAAGCUAACGCAUUAAGUGUUCCGCCUGGGGAGUACGACCGCAAGGUUGAAACUCAAAGGAAUUGACGGGGACCCGCACAAGCGGUGGAGCAUGUGGUUUAAUUCGAAGCAACGCGAAGAACCUUACCAGGUCUUGACAUCCUUUGAAGCUUUUAGAGAUAGAAGUGUUCUCUUCGGAGACAAA